GGAAGCCGGUGAGAGCCCGGCGCGGUCGCGCCACUGUAACCGGACUCAUCGCCGCCGAACGGCGGUGCGUCCAGGAGCCAGAC
RNAcentral lists this non-coding RNA (83 nucleotides) under Cryptosporangium aurantiacum. Lineage: Bacteria; Bacillati; Actinomycetota; Actinomycetes; Cryptosporangiales; Cryptosporangiaceae. The record is from RNAcentral.